UAAAAAGGUUUGGUAUUAAAGUUUUUAUAAGCACAACAAGGAGUAUUAAAGCUUUAUUCAAUAACAACUCAGUGGUAUGAAAAAAGCAUUUCUACUACUCUACAAUCCAAUUCAUUUUCUUCCACUUAAUUCUUAUUUCAAAUUACGUAUCUUGUUAAGGAAUGAUAAAUCUUUCUAUUUGUCACAUGAGUUCAAUUUCAUUUCACCUGGAACCUUUUCCACCACGAUUUUUUUCCUCUUUUUUUCUUUUCAUCAAAAUUUCUUCUAUGAAAAAAAAUAAAAUUGUAAUAUUGAGCUGCCUGAAAUAUCAUCUUUUUCCCAUAUUGAGCUGCCUGAAAGAGCAGCGUCUCACCAUAAUCGUUCUGCAUUCUGAGAAACUGUGAAGCUUUCUUCAAAGUUUCUCUAGCAGCAGGAAGGGUUCUGCUGGCUGUGGCUGCCUCGUGGAGUAUAGUGUUUUCCAGCAUCAUUCUGACUGGCGAGUUGGCUGAGAUGGGUCUCCGGCAAUUGUUCCAGUAAAUUCAGUUCUAGAUCAGAUUGUUUGGAGUAAGUAGCUAUGCGGAGGACUGUCUUUGUGUAUAGUCAUUACGUACAUGGCCCUUCUGGAAUAUUUUUGCAGGGUUGGAUCACCUCUUUCUCAUCUCCCUUCAUCAGAGCUUUGUAGAGAUCUCUGUGAAGCUCCUCUUUGGUACCUUCAUCUGCCAUGAAAGUGGAAACAGUAGAAGGGUUACUGGAAGAUGGGUGUUUAGGUACAAGCUAGUGGAGAAAGUUAAUGGGUGGAUAAGAUUCCUUUUCUCUUUAGUGGGGGAUCUGACUUUUCAUAUUACUUGAUAUUCCACCUCUCUUGUGUUAUUAGGUAUGCAUCUUAAGUUUACUAGAAAUUAUACUUCCAAUUAUUUGCUUUGUAAAGUUGAAUCCCAUAAAAAUUUGAUCAAGUUUAUAUUUGCUUUAGAUGCUACUUAGUCUAGAAAUCAAGAGAAAAUCAGUUUUAUUAUUACAUGCAAGUCUAAUUAAGAACAGAUUUUCAUCACACAUACUUUUAAGAGUUAAAUAUCCCUUAAACUUCUGAACUUUUUGUAUUUUACUUCCUCCCAUUUAAAAUCCAUCAAUUUAUUUAAAAAAAUUGCUAAAUUGUGUUUGAAUGAUUUAUAUUUUUACUAACAUGAAUGAUUUAACAUUCCCUUGUAUUUAUAAGUUAAUUGACUAUGCAAAGAGAUAAUAAUACGUGAUAAAUCUUUCUUUAUUUUGCAAAUGUUUUUUUCUUCUUGUAGUGAAACUUAUCUUUCAGUUUUCUUAACAAUUAGAUAUCAAAAAGAUUCGUUCAUAUCCAUAUGGCCAUACUUUUAUGGCCUUUUUCGCUUUAAAAUAUGGGGUGUUUGCCAUGUGCACGUGCCUUCUUCUAGCUUUACCUUUCUUGGUAUUCAUGCUUUUUAUUAUUGAGGGCCGGCUUGUCUAAAUGGUGCUUGCCUUUUCAUUAUUACUGAUUCUUCUUAGCAUGGUUAACAAAGUUAAAUGGUAAAUGGUGUCUGCCAUUUCCAAUAUUCAAGAUAUAUUUCUCUAUUAAUUUGUUAUUGUGGAUCAAAAGGUUUGUUGUUAAAAUUUGAUGCUAGAUCUAGGACAUGAAUGAUGUCUGUCUUUCAAGCUUUAGAGCUGUCUCUACCCCAUCUUAAAACUUCCGCCCUGGUGAUCUAUAAAAAUAAGGAAAAAAAAAAAGAAAAAAAGAAAGAUCAGCAAGUCAAAUUAGUUUUAAAAAAUGUUGGUAUUUAUUAUUGGAGAUUUUGUAAGCAUCUUUCUUCCUAUGUUUGUUGUAUUAUGAUAUAUACUUGAUUCUUCAGUUCAAGGUGUUCCCUUUAAACAAACCGCUACUUCAAUGCCACCUUGGUCUUGCCAGUUCCAUUUAUGUCAUAGAAACAAUAUUCAAGAAAAAGAAAUAAACAACAAACAAAUCAAAUCGUCUUUUAGUUUUUUAAGUUAUUGUUUUAUAUUUGAUUUUUCAUUGGACUUCUGAUGAUAAAUUAAAUAAAAAAUUGAGAUUAAUUCUUUCUUAUUUUUGUUUGCAUAUGUAGCGAAUUUAAGAAGCAAUGCCCAAAGACUCCCAUGCCUUUCUUGGUCAGACCAACCCAACCGGCUAAUGUGGCAAAUAGGGGAACCCUUAGUAGCCAAGAGAUGCCCUAUCACUUCCACUCAAAUGUAUUCAAAUUUAAAACUCUGUGCAUAUGUAGAAAGGCAAUACAGAUCAUUAGUUCACUUUAAACAAGCUAAUUAAAUUCAAUAUAUGCAGUUUUUUGUUCUUGUUACAGGCAAACUGAAGAAUAUUUGUGUAAAACAUGGACAAGGAGUAAUGAAAACACAACCAAAUGAGACGAUCAUUUCUUCUUUCAAACCGGAGUACGGUUGGGAUGAGAUUUAUGGGGUUUAAUGGAGGAGCUGUCCCCUCGGAUACUAUUAUCCUCGAACGACUUAUUGUUUAUCCAAGGUUGAAGAGGAAAACAAUUACACCUAGGACAAGCCUUCAGUAUGAGCUUGAGGGGGUAUUUGCAGGCUUCCAAGAGGGAUAGGUAUAGAGGUGAAUAUGAGAUAGCAAAGAGGGUAACUGGCAGGAAUGCAACUGAGUAUAACACAAUUUUUGUCCACCUUUCCUUAUUACGUAUCAUGAGGACUAUUGUUGCAGCAAAUGCCACCAUCAUCAUUGAGACUGAGAGGAUUAAGAAUGUGAAACCCAGCAUGAGCUUUUGAGGAAGAGAGUUCUUGAAGUCUUGUAAUCGAAAUGAGNN
Molecule: long non-coding RNA, 2771 nt
Filed under: Vitis vinifera (wine grape)
Lineage: Eukaryota; Viridiplantae; Streptophyta; Magnoliopsida; Vitales; Vitaceae
Description: long non-coding RNA (VVIN_LNC007434)
Source: RNAcentral